ACGGGUGAGUAACGCGUGGGAACGUACCUUUUGGUUCGGAACAACUCCGGGAAACUGGAGCUAAUACCGGAUAAGCCCUUCGGGGGAAAGAUUUAUCGCCGAAAGAUCGGCCCGCGUCUGAUUAGCUAGUUGGUGAGGUAAUGGCUCACCAAGGCGACGAUCAGUAGCUGGUCUGAGAGGAUGAUCAGCCACACUGGGACUGAGACACGGCCCAGACUCCUACGGGAGGCAGCAGUGGGGAAUAUUGGACAAUGGGCGCAAGCCUGAUCCAGCCAUGCCGCGUGAGUGAUGAAGGCCUUAGGGUUGUAAAGCUCUUUUGUCCGGGAAGAUAAUAACUGUACCGGAAGAAUAAGCCCCGGCUAACUUCGUGCCAGCAGCCGCGGUAAUACGAAGGGGGCUAGCGUUGUUCGGAAUCACUGGGCGUAAAGCGCACGUAGGCGGACCAUUAAGUCAGGGGUGAAAGCCUGGAGCUCAACUCCAGAACUGCCUUUGAUACUGAUGGUCUCGAGUAUGGAAGAGGUUGGUGGAACUGCGAGUGUAGAGGUGAAAUUCGUAGA
Molecule: ribosomal RNA, 557 nt
Filed under: uncultured bacterium
Lineage: Bacteria
Description: bacterial SSU rRNA
Rfam family: Bacterial small subunit ribosomal RNA
Source: RNAcentral